GACGAACGCUGGCGGCGUGCCUAAUACAUGCAAGUUGAGCGCUGAAGGUUGGUACUUGUACCAACUGGAUGAGCAGCGAACGGGUGAGUAACGCGUGGGGAAUCUGCCUUUGAGCGGGGGACAACAUUUGGAAACGAAUGCUAAUACCGCAUAAAAACUUUAAACACAAGUUUUAAGUUUGAAAGAUGCAAUUGCAUCACUCAAAGAUGAUCCCGCGUUGUAUUAGCUAGUUGGUGAGGUAAAGGCUCACCAAGGCGAUGAUACAUAGCCGACCUGAGAGGGUGAUCGGCCACAUUGGGACUGAGACACGGCCCAAACUCCUACGGGAGGCAGCAGUAGGGAAUCUUCGGCAAUGGACGAAAGUCUGACCGAGCAACGCCGCGUGAGUGAAGAAGGUUUUCGGAUCGUAAAACUCUGUUGGUAGAGAUGAACGUUGGUGAGAGUGGAAAGCUCAUCAAGUGACGGUAACUACCCAGAAAGGGACGGCUAACUACGUG
Molecule: ribosomal RNA, 497 nt
Filed under: uncultured bacterium
Lineage: Bacteria
Description: partial 16S ribosomal RNA
Rfam family: Bacterial small subunit ribosomal RNA
Source: RNAcentral